GACGAACGCUGGCGGCGUGCUUAACACAUGCAAGUCGAACGGAAAGGCCCUGCUUGCAGGGUACUCGAGUGGCGAACGGGCGAGUAACACGUGGGUGAUCUGCCCUGCACUUCGGGAUAAGCCUGGGAAACUGGGUCUAAUACCGGAUAGGAGCCAUUUUUAGUGUGAUGGUUGGAAAGUUUUUUCGGUGUAGGAUGAGCUCGCGGCCUAUCAGCUUGUUGGUGGGGUAAUGGCCUACCAAGGCGGCGACGGGUAGCCGGCCUGGGCGGGUGGACGGCCACAUUGGGACUGAGAUACGGCCCAGACUCCUACGGGAGGCAGCAGUGGGGAAUAUUGCACAAUGGGCGCAAGCCUGAUGCAGCGACGCCGCGUGGGGGAUGACGGCCUUCGGGUUGUAAACUCCUUUCGCUAGGGACGAAGCUUUUUGUGACGGUACCUAGAUAAGAAGCACCGGCUAACUACGUG
Molecule: ribosomal RNA, 465 nt
Filed under: uncultured bacterium
Lineage: Bacteria
Description: partial 16S ribosomal RNA
Rfam family: Bacterial small subunit ribosomal RNA
Source: RNAcentral